RNAcentral lists this ribosomal RNA (402 nucleotides) under uncultured bacterium. RNAcentral's name for it is "bacterial SSU rRNA". It matches the Rfam family "Bacterial small subunit ribosomal RNA", at positions 355 to 774 of the family's 1533-position model. The record is from RNAcentral.
UCGGGAAUUUUGGGCAAUGGGCGAAAGCCUGACCCAGCAACGCCGCGUGAGGGAUGAAGUAUUUCGGUAUGUAAACCUCGAAAGAAUGGGAAGAAUAAAUGACGGUACCAUUUAUAAGCUCCGGCUAACUACGUGCCAGCAUCCGCGGUAUUACGUAGGGAGCAAGCGUUGUUCGGAUUUACUUGUCGGAAAGGGCGCGUAGGCGGCGCGGUAAGUCACUUGUGAAAUCUCUGAGCUUAACUUAGAACGGCCAAGUGAUACUGCUGGGCUAGAGUGCGGAAGAGGCAACCGGAAUUCUUGGUGUAGCGGCGAAAUGCGUAGAUAUCAAGAGGAACACCUGAGGCGAAGGCGAGUUGCUGGGCCGACACUGACGCUGAUGCGCGAAAGCCAGGGGAGCAAACG